UCUCUCAUGGCGUAGUGGUUAACGCGCCCCAACUAGAGAUCGGGGAAUCGUGAGUUAGAUUCUCACUGAGAAGA
Non-coding RNA from Aedes aegypti (yellow fever mosquito), 74 nucleotides. Lineage: Eukaryota; Metazoa; Arthropoda; Insecta; Diptera; Culicidae. The record is from Rfam.